AGAAGAUGCAUGCUCCUACUUUAU
RNAcentral lists this non-coding RNA (24 nucleotides) under Arabidopsis thaliana (thale cress). Lineage: Eukaryota; Viridiplantae; Streptophyta; Magnoliopsida; Brassicales; Brassicaceae. The record is from RNAcentral.